Molecule: ribosomal RNA, 477 nt
Filed under: Candidatus Scalindua brodae
Lineage: Bacteria; Pseudomonadati; Planctomycetota; Candidatus Brocadiia; Candidatus Brocadiales; Candidatus Scalinduaceae
Description: bacterial SSU rRNA
Rfam family: Bacterial small subunit ribosomal RNA
Source: RNAcentral
UUCGCAAUGCCCGAAAGGGUGACGAAGCGACGCCGCGUGGGUGAGGAAGGCCUUCGGGUUGUAAAGCCCUGUCAGGAGUUAAGAAAUGUAAGUGCGCUAAUAUCGCAUUUAUUUGACGAAGGCUCCAAAGGAAGCCACGGCUAACUCUGUGCCAGCAGCCGCGGUAAUACAGAGGUGGCAAGCGUUGUUCGGAAUUAUUGGGCGUAAAGAGCACGUAGGUGGAUUUGUAAGUCAGAUGUGAAAGCCUUCUGUUCAACGGAAGAAUUGCAUCUGAAACUACAAACCUUGAGUAUAGGAGGGGAGAAUGGAACUUCUGGUGGAGCGGUGAAAUGCGUAGAUAUCAGAAGGAACGCCGGCGGCGAAAGCGAUUCUCUGGCCUAUUACUGACACUCAGUGUGCGAAAGCUAGGGGAGCAAACGGGAUUAGAUACCCCGGUAGUCCUAGCCGUAAACGAUGGGCACUAAGUAGAGGGGUUUU